RNAcentral lists this ribosomal RNA (463 nucleotides) under Codringtonia intusplicata. RNAcentral's name for it is "partial large subunit ribosomal RNA". It matches the Rfam family "Bacterial large subunit ribosomal RNA", at positions 1783 to 2628 of the family's 2925-position model. Lineage: Eukaryota; Metazoa; Mollusca; Gastropoda; Stylommatophora; Helicidae. The record is from RNAcentral.
AAAAUACCCAACUGUUUACCAAAAACAUAACUGUAUGAGAUAUUAUACAGCUUUUUCUGCUCCAUGACACGUUAAAUAGCCGCAGUACCCUGACUGUGCAAAGGUAGCAUAAUCAAUUGGCUUCUAAUUAAAGUCUGGCAUGAACGAACAUAUGGGUAAUGACUGUCUAAGGAAUGUUAAUAAGAAAUUAUCAAGUUGGUGCAAAUGCCAACAGACUUAAAAAAGACGAGAAGACCCUAGAAACUUAUAGUUGAUUUUGCUGGGGCGGCAGAAUUGCAUAUAACCAAUUUUAAUUUACGUGGAGCGAUGCAGAAAGAAAAAGUUACUCUAGGGAUAACAGCAUAAUUUUAAUAGUUUGUGACCUCGAUGUUGGACUAGGGACAUUACCCCCUAGAAGGGGGUAGUUAUGGCUCUGUUCGAGCUCUUAGCCCCUACAUGAUCUGAGUCAGACCGGCGCGAGCCA